Molecule: long non-coding RNA, 2232 nt
Organism: Bombus terrestris (buff-tailed bumblebee)
Lineage: Eukaryota; Metazoa; Arthropoda; Insecta; Hymenoptera; Apidae
Exons: 2
Source: RefSeq, a predicted model, not a curated record
CGCCGCCAACCAAAGCUGGAAGGAUUUAAAUUCAAAGUGAGUAAGGGAUCUAUCCAAAAACCGAUUAAAACCUCCCUGUCCUAUCUAAAAGAACCAACCACCCGAAACAACGCCAUACUUUAUCAAACUCACAAACAAUCCUCCUCAAACACGUACUGCGUAUCAAUUACCAAGCUCCUCGAAACAUCCAAUUCCCCGUUUAUCAUUCCAAACACAAUUUCACCCUUCAACGAACUACAUACAGUCGAAAGUUAGGGACAGUGUAGCAAAGAGGACUCUAAUACUUUCAGAUAGCGCGUGGACACACGCAGAAAGCACAUACAGAACUAUUCACAUCUACCCAGUGACCAGAACCACUACAACCACGUACUACCUCCGCGUACCUACUUCUGCAUAUUACAUACAAGCAAACACGGAACGGCCACGCAUCGUUCACAUCGAGCAGAAACGCGUGUCCAUAAAGCGGCUCCCACGUAAACGUUUUUCUACGUCUGUACGCGUGGGUGUGCACGGAUGAACGGUGGAGGAGAACAGCGGCGGGAGGAAUGAGGCGAAACGGUGGUGGUUGAAUACAGAGACGAAGGGGACUGGUAGGCCGGUUCACGAGAAACCUGGGUAGGGGUAGUUCGGUUUAGUUUGGGGAGGCUCUCUCCGCGUUUGGGUUCGAGUCCCUCCAGCUGCACCACCACCGUAUCAACCGGCACACCACCGUUCCUACCAUCGCCACAAUCCUACUCCCGCAGGGGCGGAACUCGAUAGACCUAAGGGGAUGGGGGCUGCCUCCGCUCGUGGAUCAAUACCAUGGCGGGUUGCAGGGCAUACAGGGGGUUGCUACGUGGUGUGGCACGCGCAUACGCUGCUAUCCCCCCGGAGGAAGAAGGACACCGAUCAACCCCGUUGCCACGUUCUAUAGAAAGAGACGAGAAGAUAUGACUGAAGAGUAGAGAAGAGGAUGGAAGAUACGAACCAGAGUGGAACUGUUGAUUCGCGUUUGAAAUACUGUUCGGUUUUAAAGCGAUUUCGCUAGUUUAUUAAGGAUCGAACAAACCCACCGAGGGAUGAUAUCCUCGCGUGUCGAAGCAACUUCGAAAAUCGCCAGUGCCUGGCACUGCCAUAAUGCUAUCGAGAGCAGAUUAGAAGGGCUUUGCUCCGAUCGUGCUGACGUAUGCUCGUUUUCGUGACACUUUGUCUGUGCUGGAUUUCUUCCAUUUUUUUAGAAGAAGGAUCUUGGUUCUCGAAUGCAUUGUAUUCCUCGUUUGGAAAUAUAUCUAUCUUUAUUUGCAGAAAUCUGAGGCACGCUUUCACGACGCUUUGGCUAUGGCGAGGGAUUGCACGCCAUUGUAUUUAUUAUAGAAUUUAUAUACUAAUUAAUUAGAAUCAGAAUCGAUUUUGAGAUUAGUGACUAUUUCCAGAACGAGCUGCAGUACAAUUACGUAUUACGUAUUACGUACAAUUACGACUCGAUAAGCAUCAGGCGAAUAGUUGUUAUUACGAUUUGUUUAAUGUACUUCGGAGUUGAAAUGAAGUUAAGCUAGACUAUACACAGGUUUGUUAUUACGUCUGCAUCGCUAUGCCUAUUGUCCUCGGGACAUUGUACUACGUAGAGUUGCACUUGUAACAAGUUCAUUCACGCUAGAUUUAAAUCUAAUAACGGGGAGAUACUACACUAUAUUCUAUGUAUAUAAUAUGUUAUUCCUUGCUAACCAACGAAUUGCGUCUGCGAAAUUUUAUUCCGAACUUUGUCUGGAGAGGUGCUAAUAAGAAAAUAAAAUUUAAAGUUUAUAACCUUAACAUUAUUAUACUAUUCCUUAUCAAGCAACGAAUGUCGUGUAAGAGACUUCGUUAUAAACUCUGUUUGAAGAAUGGAUAAUAGAAAAAUAGAAUUUUUAAGUUUAUGACCUUUCAAGUUUGUAUAAAAAUUCUAUAAAGGGCAAUAUAGUGAGCAGAGGAAAACUGAGGUAAAAGGAGGAACACUGUGUCUCUGUUAAAGGGAAAACGUGUAUAUUGAUACUGACGGGGUGUGCUGCACUUCUAUACACUGCACGGCUAAAGGGCACAUGUCUCAUUACACACGAACGUUCUUUUGAAUAUAUAGCCUAACAAGGAUACACCUCGCUGUUUUAGAAAUCAAUGUCGAUAGAAAUUGCUUACCAACUAUCAUAUAUUAUUAUCAUUAGAAGCAAACUAAGCAUUAUUGACUAAGUAACAGACCAUCUUUUAAUCAAUCGAUAA